Long non-coding RNA from Myotis brandtii (Brandt's bat), 330 nucleotides. RefSeq lists it as uncharacterized. Lineage: Eukaryota; Metazoa; Chordata; Mammalia; Chiroptera; Vespertilionidae. The transcript has 3 exons. The record is from RefSeq and is a predicted model, not a curated record.
CCUGGCUUUGGUUAAAUGCUUUCCUCCCCUACUACCUGUUUAUGAGGCAUUUCUCCUUGAACAGAACCUGUGACUUGAAUGCGUCCUGGUUCACCAGAGGUGACGAGAACAGAGGUAAGAAAGCAAAUAUCUGAGAAGUUAAGUAACCUGGCCAAGGCAUCAAGCUGGAAUUUGAAUCCAGGCUGACGGGUUUACUUGUUCAGUAGACAAGCGCCUCAGAUCCACCAGGGCAAACAUUCUGAGCAAGGAGCUCACUGAAUAUAAACGGGCCGCCCUGUCACUGCAUUUGGCAAGCAAUCAUCCUAAGAGUUUUCAGGUGGGUGAAAGAAC